This 691-nucleotide ribosomal RNA is filed under the name uncultured bacterium. Its description in RNAcentral is "bacterial SSU rRNA". It matches the Rfam family "Bacterial small subunit ribosomal RNA", at positions 335 to 1022 of the family's 1533-position model. The record is from RNAcentral.
ACUCCUACGGGAGGCAGCAGUGGGGAAUAUUGCACAAUGGGCGCAAGCCUGAUGCAGCAACGCCGCGUGAGGGACGACGGCCUUCGGGUUGUAAACCUCUUUUAGUAGGGAAGAAGCGAUGUGCUUGUCACAUCAUGACGGUACCUGCAGAAAAAGCACCGGCUAACUACGUGCCAGCAGCCGCGGUAAUACGUAGGGUGCAAGCGUUAUCCGGAAUUAUUGGGCGUAAAGAGCUCGUAGGCGGUUUGUCGCGUCUGCUGUGAAAACUGGAGGCUCAACCUCCAGCCUGCAGUGGGUACGGGCAGACUAGAGUGCGGUAGGGGAGAUUGGAAUUCCUGGUGUAGCGGUGGAAUGCGCAGAUAUCAGGAGGAACACCAAUGGCGAAGGCAGAUCUCUGGGCCGUAACUGACGCUGAGGAGCGAAAGCAUGGGGAGCGAACAGGAUUAGAUACCCUGGUAGUCCAUGCCGUAAACGUUGGGAACUAGAUGUAGGGACCAUUCCACGGUUUCUGUGUCGCAGCUAACGCAUUAAGUUCCCCGCCUGGGGAGUACGGCCGCAAGGCUAAAACUCAAAGGAAUUGACGGGGGCCCGCACAAGCGGCGGAGCAUGCGGAUUAAUUCGAUGCAACGCGAAGAACCUUACCAAGACUUGACAUAUACGAGAACGGGCUAGAAAUAGUUCACUCUUUGGA